Molecule: long non-coding RNA, 565 nt
Organism: Vitis riparia (riverbank grape)
Lineage: Eukaryota; Viridiplantae; Streptophyta; Magnoliopsida; Vitales; Vitaceae
Exons: 2
Source: RefSeq, a predicted model, not a curated record
CCUAACCCUAACACCCUUCUGCUUCUUCCUUCAUACCUUAUCAAUGUCAGGGCAACAACAACGGACAAAGAAUGUUGGCGUUUGGGUGGAGGAAAGCGAUUUUCUCGAAAUCAAUAUUACCGCUAUUGGGAAAGACAUGCAUUCUGUUGAAGAUAGACGAAGGUACCGAGCUGACAAUCAAAUGUAAGAAAGGUCUACAAAUAAUGAUCCCAGACCCCAACAAAACUAAAACUCAAGCAGCGAAGGUAACAGCUAAAGGUCAAAUAUAAGAAGCGUCUCCAAAUGAUGUUGGAGGUAUGAAAGUAUUCUUGAAGAUAUAGAGAGAUUUGACUUUCCAUACUAUGGAUGAAGAUCUUGGGAGAAUCCUUACUGUUUGUUUUAUUGUAUAUAGGAUUAUUUCCUUUUCCUUUUAUUGUUUUUAUGUAUAAUACCAUUGUAUCUUUACAUGGAAAACCCACGUUGUGUAGAGAUGAAAAACCACUAGGGUCAGAAACCUCAAAUCAACAAUCCACUGCAUGAAAAAACAGUGUACAAAAUUAUUUAAUAGAUGCUACUAUUAAACUUA